AGCUCUCAACGGUGGAUAUCUCGGCUCUCUUUACGAUGAAGAACGCGGCAAAAAGCGAAAUGUAGUGUGAACUGCAAGUUUUCGUGAAUCAU
Molecule: ribosomal RNA, 92 nt
Filed under: Galdieria sulphuraria
Lineage: Eukaryota; Rhodophyta; Bangiophyceae; Galdieriales; Galdieriaceae
Description: 5.8S ribosomal RNA
Rfam family: 5.8S ribosomal RNA
About the family: 5.8S ribosomal RNA (5.8S rRNA) is a component of the large subunit of the eukaryotic ribosome. It is transcribed by RNA polymerase I as part of the 45S precursor that also contains 18S and 28S rRNA.
Source: Rfam by way of RNAcentral